Molecule: long non-coding RNA, 464 nt
Organism: Hylaeus volcanicus
Lineage: Eukaryota; Metazoa; Arthropoda; Insecta; Hymenoptera; Colletidae
Exons: 3
Source: RefSeq, a predicted model, not a curated record
AUUUAUCAUUCAAAAGUCUUGCAUGAUAAAAAGAGUAAAUUUAUUUAUGGAAAAGUAUAAUGAUACAAAAAUAUGGCAUUUCUGUAAUAUUAAAACAGAAAUUAUAACAAUAUAAUAACUCAUUUUUAUUCAAACAAAAUUUUAAAACAGCAUAACAAGAUCUAUUAACAAUAUUUAUAGAAUAUUAAAGGAAAUAACUACCAUUUUAAUCGUUUUGUAUUGAACGACGAGGAAUUGCAUCGCCAUCUUCUUCUAUCAAUCUUUGAUGUACAGCACUGAGAGCCUGUAUAUCAUACAAAUUCAAUGCAAAACCAACUCAAUGUUUUCACGCGCAAUUCGAGAGUCGCAUCUUCGUCGCAAAUAAUUAUUGUACGAGGAUGCUGUUGAAAAGCUGAUACAGUCCACAUGUGAUUGAUGCCUUCUUCUAUGGCUUUAUAAAGAGCAAAUGCUUUAUGAGAACCUGU